RNAcentral lists this ribosomal RNA (862 nucleotides) under uncultured Methanosaeta sp. Its description in RNAcentral is "bacterial SSU rRNA". It matches the Rfam family "Archaeal small subunit ribosomal RNA", at positions 477 to 1338 of the family's 1478-position model. Lineage: Archaea; Methanobacteriati; Methanobacteriota; Methanomicrobia; Methanotrichales; Methanotrichaceae. The record is from RNAcentral.
CGGCGGCUCGAGUGGUAACCGUUAUUAUUGGGUCUAAAGGGUCUGUAGCCGGCCGGAUAAGUCUCUUGAGAAAUCUGGCAGCUUAACUGUCAGGCUUUCAGGAGAUACUGUCUGGCUCGAGGCCGGGAGAGGUGAGAGGUACUUCAGGGGUAGGGGUGAAAUCUUGUAAUCCUUGAAGGACCACCAGUGGCGAAGGCGUCUCACCAGAACGGACCUGACGGCAAGGGACGAAAGCUAGGGGCACGAACCGGAUUAGAUACCCGGGUAGUCCUAGCCGUAAACGAUACUCGCUAGGUGUCGGCCACGGUGCGACCGUUGUCGGUGCCGUAGGGAAGCCGUGAAGCGAGCCACCUGGGAAGUACGGCCGCAAGGCUGAAACUUAAAGGAAUUGGCGGGGGAGCACCACAACGGGUGGAGCUUGCGGUUUAAUUGGAUUCAACGCCGGAAAUCUUACCGGGACCGACAGCAAUAUGAAGGCCAGGCUGAAGACUUUGCCGGAUUAGCUGAGAGGUGGUGCAUGGCCGUCGUCAGUUCGUACUGUGAAGCAUCCUGUUAAGUCAGGCAACGAGCGAGACCCACGCCCACAGUUGCCAGCGUACUCUCCGGAGUGACGGGUACACUGUGGGGACCGCCGCUGCUAAAGCGGAGGAAGGAAUGGGCAACGGUAGGUCAGUAUGCCCCGAAUAUCCCGGGCUACACGCGAGCUACAAUGGUUGGUACAAUGGGUAUCUACCCCGAAAGGGGACGGGAAUCUCCUAAAACCAAUCUUAGUUCGGAUUGAGGGCUGCAACUCGCCCUCAUGAAGCUGGAAUCCGUAGUAAUCGCGUUUCAACAGAACGCGGUGAAUACGUCCCUGCUCCUU